Molecule: ribosomal RNA, 1368 nt
Filed under: uncultured prokaryote
Description: partial 16S ribosomal RNA
Rfam family: Bacterial small subunit ribosomal RNA
Source: RNAcentral
GCCCUUAGAGUUUGAUCCUGGCUCAGAAUGAACGCUGGCGGCGUGCUUAACACAUGCAAGUCGUACGAGAAACCGGAACUUCGGUUCCGGGAGUAAAGUGGCGCACGGGUGAGUAACGCGUAGGUAAUCUACCCUUGGGUUUGGAAUAACUCGCCGGAAAGGCGGACUAAUACCGGAUAAAAUCUUUCAGAGGGAUCUGGAAGAUCAAAGGUGGCCUCUCCAUGGAUGCUACUGCCUGAGGAUGAGCCUGCGUCCCAUUAGCUUGUUGGUAGGGUAAUGGCCUACCAAGGCUACGAUGGGUAGCUGGUCUGAGAGGAUGAUCAGUCACACUGGAACUGGAACACGGUCCAGACUCCUACGGGAGGCAGCAGUGAGGAAUAUUGCGCAAUGGGGGAAACCCUGACGCAGCGACGCCGCGUGGGUGAAGAAGGCCUUCGGGUCGUAAAGCCCUGUCUAGAGGGAAGAAAUUCUCAAUGGAAUAAUACCCAUUGAGAUUGACGGUACCUCUGGAGGAAGCACCGGCUAACUCCGUGCCAGCAGCCGCGGUAAUACGGAGGGUGCAAGCGUUGUUCGGAAUUACUGGGCGUAAAGCGCGCGUAGGUGGUUGUGUAAGUCAGAUGUGAAAGUCCACGGCUCAACCGUGGAAGUGCAUUUGAAACUGGCAGACUUGAGUAUUGGAGGGGGUAGUGGAAUUCCCGGUGUAGAGGUGAAAUUCGUAGAUAUCGGGAGGCAUACCGGUGGCGAAGGCGACUACCUGGCCAGAUACUGACGCUGAGGCUCGAAAGCGUGGGGAGCAAACAGGAUUAGAUACCCUGGUAGUCCACGCCCUAAACGAUGGGCACUAAGUGUCGGCGGGGUUGACCCCGCCGGUGCCGCAGCUAACGCAAUAAGUGCCCCGCCUGGGGAGUACGGCCGCAAGGUUGAAACUCAAAGGAAUUGACGGGGGCCCGCACAAGCGGUGGAGUAUGUGGUUUAAUUCGACGCAACGCGCAGAACCCUACCUGGUCUUGACAUUAUCUUGCCCGUCUAAGAAAUUAGAUCUUCUUCCUUUUGGAAGACGAGAUAACAGGUGGUGCAUGGUUGUCGUCAGCUCGUGUCGUGAGAUGUUGGGUUAAGUCCCACAACGAGCGCAACCCUUAUGCUUAGUUGCUAACUUGUUUUACAAGUGCACUCUAAGCAGACUGCCGCAGAUAAUGCGGAGGAAGGUGGGGAUGACGUCAAAUCAUCAUGCCCCUUACGUCCCGGGCUACACACGUGCUACAAUGGUCUGUACAGAGGGUAGCGAAAGAGCGAUCUUAAGCCAAUCCCAAAAAGCAGGCCCCAGUUCGGAUUGGAGGCUGCAACUCGCCUCCAUGAAGUAGGAAUCGC